UACGUAGGCAGCAAGCGUUGUUCGGAAUUACUGGGCGUAAAGAGUGUGUAGGUGGUGUCGUAAGUUUGGUGUGAAAUCCCCGGGCUUAACCUGGGAACUGCAUUUGUGACUGCAUAGCUAGAGUACGGUAGAGGGGGAUGGAAUUCCGCGUGUAGCAGUGAAAUGCGUAGAUAUGCGGAGGAACACCGAUGGCGAAGGCAAUCCCCUGGACCUGUACUGACGCUCAUGCACGAAAGCGUGGGGAGCAAACAGG
This 253-nucleotide ribosomal RNA is filed under the name uncultured bacterium. RNAcentral's name for it is "partial 16S ribosomal RNA". It matches the Rfam family "Bacterial small subunit ribosomal RNA", at positions 524 to 776 of the family's 1533-position model. The record is from RNAcentral.